AAGUAAAAGUCGUAACAAGGUAUCUGUAGGUGAACCUGCAGAUGGAUCAUUUCGAUGAAAACCUUUUUUCUUGAGGUGUGGCUCGCACCUGUCUAACUAAAUCGAGCUACCACAUUUUAACACGGUUGCAUCGGUUGGCUGUCAAACAGUGCGCGCGGCGAUUUAUUUCGCCUCCCCGCGCAUUGCUGGAAGUAACAGUCGUAACAAGGUCUCCGUUGGUGAACCAGCGGAGGGAUCAUUGCUGAGUGUAAAAACUCCCAACCCUUUGUGAACAUACCUCUGUUGCUUCGKCGGAUGCGCCCCGGGCGCGCCUCCUAGGAGGCGUGCCCCGGAACCAGGCGCCCGCCGGGGGACCUACAAACUCUUGUAUUCCUAGCGGAUCUCUGAGUGUGAUUUAAACAAAUCAAAUCAAAACUUUCAACAACGGAUCUSUUGGCUCUAGCAUCGAUGAAGAACGCAGCGAAAUGCGAUAAGUAAUGCGAAUUGCAKAAUUCRGUGAAUCAUCKAAUCUUUGAACGCACAUUGCGCCCGCUAGUAUUCUGGCGGGCAUGCCUGUCUGAGCGUCAUUUCAACCCUCGUCCCCCGUCUAGGCGRGAGGGCGGUGUUGGGGAUGGGCCUGCCUCCGGGCCGGCCCGCCCCUAAAUGUASUGGCGACCACGCCGUAGCCUCCUCUGCGWASUAGUAACUCACCUCGCGSGCRGAGAGCGGUGCGGCCUGCCGUAAAACCCCCUACUUUCUCAAGGUUGACCUCACAUCAGGUAGGAAUACCCGCUGAACUUAAGCAUAUCAUGUAAGCGGAGGAAAAUAUCAGGACUUCGGAGAGGAGAGGCGCAGGGUCGAGGAGCUGGACGCGACGUUUUGCUGGUUGGAGUGCUUCUGAACCCCGCCCAUGCCUCGCUUCUUUGGAAGAGAGGAAGGGAUUUAAUUUCAAUUCAUCGGCCUCAGAUUGGUAGGACUACCCGCUGAACUUAAGCAUAUCAAUAAGCGGAGG
Molecule: ribosomal RNA, 991 nt
Filed under: sordariomycete sp. 7415
Lineage: Eukaryota; Fungi; Ascomycota; Sordariomycetes
Description: eukaryotic LSU rRNA
Rfam family: 5.8S ribosomal RNA (bases 413-566)
Source: RNAcentral